This 445-nucleotide ribosomal RNA is filed under the name uncultured bacterium. RNAcentral's name for it is "partial 16S ribosomal RNA". It matches the Rfam family "Bacterial small subunit ribosomal RNA", at positions 354 to 796 of the family's 1533-position model. The record is from RNAcentral.
GUGAGGAAUAUUGGUCAAUGGGCGGGAGCCUGAACCAGCCAAGUCGCGUGAAGGAAGAAGGAUCUAUGGUUCGUAAACUUCUUUUGCAGGGGAAUAAAGUGCAGGACGUGUCCUGUUUUGUAUGUACCCUGAGAAUAAGGAUCGGCUAACUCCGUGCCAGCAGCCGCGGUAAUACGGAGGAUCCGAGCGUUAUCCGGAUUUAUUGGGUUUAAAGGGUGCGUAGGUGGUUUGAUAAGUCAGCGGUGAAAGUUUGUAGCUUAACUGUAAAAAUGCCGUUGAAACUGUCGGACUUGAGUGUAAAUGAGGUAGGCGGAAUGCGUGGUGUAGCGGUGAAAUGCAUAGAUAUCACGCAGAACUCCGAUUGCGAAGGCAGCUUACUAAGCUACAACUGACACUGAAGCACGAAAGCGUGGGGAUCAAACAGGAUUAGAAACCCCAGUAGUCC